Molecule: ribosomal RNA, 524 nt
Filed under: Escherichia coli
Lineage: Bacteria; Pseudomonadati; Pseudomonadota; Gammaproteobacteria; Enterobacterales; Enterobacteriaceae
Description: partial 23S ribosomal RNA
Rfam family: Bacterial large subunit ribosomal RNA
Source: RNAcentral
GUUAAGCGACUAAGCGUACACGGUGGAUGCCCUGGCAGUCAGAGGCGAUGAAGGACGUGCUAAUCUGCGAUAAGCGUCGGUAAGGUGAUAUGAACCGUUAUAACCGGCGAUUUCCGAAUGGGGAAACCCAGUGUGUUUCGACACACUAUCAUUAACUGAAUCCAUAGGUUAAUGAGGCGAACCGGGGGAACUGAAACAUCUAAGUACCCCGAGGAAAAGAAAUCAACCGAGAUUCCCCCAGUAGCGGCGAGCGAACGGGGAGCAGCCCAGAGCCUGAAUCAGUGUGUGUGUUAGUGGAAGCGUCUGGAAAGGCGCGCGAUACAGGGUGACAGCCCCGUACACAAAAAUGCACAUGCUGUGAGCUCGAUGAGUAGGGCGGGACACGUGGUAUCCUGUCUGAAUAUGGGGGGACCAUCCUCCAAGGCUAAAUACUCCUGACUGACCGAUAGUGAACCAGUACCGUGAGGGAAAGGCGAAAAGAACCCCGGCGAGGGGAGUGAAAAAGAACCUGAAACCGUGUACGU